UACAGAGGUCUCAAGCGUUGUUCGGAUUCAUUGGGCGUAAAGGGUGCGUAGGCGGCGCGGUAAGUCGGGUGUGAAAUCUUGGAGCUUAACUCCGAAACUGCAUUCGAUACUGCCGUGCUUGGGGACUGGAGAGGAGACUGGAAUUUACGGUGUAGCGGUGAAAUGCGUAGAUAUCGUAAGGAAGACCAGUGGCGAAGGCGGGUCUCUGGACAGUUCCUGACGCUGAGGCACGAAGGCCAGGGGAGCAAACGGG
RNAcentral lists this ribosomal RNA (253 nucleotides) under uncultured bacterium. Its description in RNAcentral is "partial 16S ribosomal RNA". It matches the Rfam family "Bacterial small subunit ribosomal RNA", at positions 524 to 776 of the family's 1533-position model. The record is from RNAcentral.